UCAUUAAUACCCCCAAAAGCACUUAUAUUAAAUUAAACAAACCAUUUUUCCCCCUAAGUAUGGGCGACAGAAAAGGAAUAUUUAGAGCCAUAGAAAAAGUACCGCAAGGGAAUGCUGAAAAAGAAAUGAAACAACUCAGUAAAGUUUAAAAAAGCAGAGAUUUAUGCUCGUACCUUUUGCAUCAUGAUUUAGUCAGUAAAAUACAAGCAAAAAGUACUUUAGUUUGUCUUCCCGAAACUAAGUGAGCUACUCCAAGACAGCCUAAAAUAGGGCCAACCCGUCUCUGUGGCAAAAGAGUGGGAUGAGCUUCGAGUAGAGGUGAUAAACCUACCGAACUUAGUUAUAGCUGGUUGCCUGAGAAAUGAAUAGAAGUUCAGCUUUUUGGUUUCUCCCUCCAACCUGCCUAACUACAACCGAACCAAAGAAACCAAAAAAGUUAGUUAAAGGGGGUACAGCUCCUUUAAACAAGAUACAACUUCACCAGCCGGGUAAAGAUCAUAUAUAACCAAGGUAAGAUGUUUUAGUGGGCCUAAAAGCAGCCACCUAUAAGAAAGCGUCAAAGCUCCUUCAUACCACCACCCCUCAAAUUCCGAUAAUACAUCCUAAACCCGCUAGUUUUAUCAAGCCGCCCCAUGCCGCCAUGGGGGUGAUUAUGCUAAAAUGAGUAAUAAGAAAAACCACUUUUUCUCCUUGCAUUCGUGUAAAUCGAAACGGACUCCCCAUCGAACAUUAAUCGGCCCCAAAAAAAGAGGGUAAUGAAUUAUCAACCCCAAUAACAAGAAAAGCAUCCAAAUAUCAACCGUUAACCUCACACUAGCGUGCUUACAAGGAAAGACUAAAAGAAAAAGAAGGAACUCGGCAAAUACAAGCCUCGCCUGUUUACCAAAAACAUCGCCUCUUGAAAACUAAGCAUAAGAGGUCC
Molecule: ribosomal RNA, 922 nt
Filed under: Betta ferox
Lineage: Eukaryota; Metazoa; Chordata; Actinopteri; Anabantiformes; Osphronemidae
Description: partial 16S ribosomal RNA
Rfam family: Bacterial large subunit ribosomal RNA (bases 142-660)
Source: RNAcentral